AUUGAACGCUGGCGGCAGGCCUAACACAUGCAAGUCGAGCGGAUGACGGGAGCUUGCUCCUUGAUUCAGCGGCGGACGGGUGAGUAAUGCCUAGGAAUCUGCCUGGUAGUGGGGGACAACGUUCCGAAAGGGGCGCUAAUACCGCAUACGUCCUACGGGAGAAAGUGGGGGAUCUUCGGACCUCACGCUAUCAGAUGAGCCUAGGUCGGAUUAGCUAGUUGGUGAGGUAAUGGCUCACCAAGGCGACGAUCCGUAACUGGUCUGAGAGGAUGAUCAGUCACACUGGAACUGAGACACGGUCCAGACUCCUACGGGAGGCAGCAGUGGGGAAUAUUGGACAAUGGGCGAAAGCCUGAUCCAGCCAUGCCGCGUGUGUGAAGAAGGCCUUCGGAUUGUAAAGCACUUUAAGUUGGGAGGAAGGGCAGUAAGUUAAUACCUUGCUGUUUUGACGUUACCGACAGAAUAAGCACCGGCUAACUCUGUGCCAGCAGCCGCGGUAAUACAGAGGGUGCAAGCGUUAAUCGGAAUUACUGGGCGUAAAGCGCGCGUAGGUGGUUCGUUAAGUUGGAUGUGAAAGCCCCGGGCUCAACCUGGGAACUGCAUCCAAAACUGGCGAGCUAGAGUAUGGUAGAGGGUGGUGGAAUUUCCUGUGUAGCGGUGAAAUGCGUAGAUAUAGGAAGGAACACCAGUGGCGAAGGCGACCACCUGGACUGAUACUGACACUGAGGUGCGAAAGCGUGGGGAGCAAACAGG
Molecule: ribosomal RNA, 753 nt
Filed under: uncultured Pseudomonas sp.
Lineage: Bacteria; Pseudomonadati; Pseudomonadota; Gammaproteobacteria; Pseudomonadales; Pseudomonadaceae
Description: bacterial SSU rRNA
Rfam family: Bacterial small subunit ribosomal RNA
Source: RNAcentral